AGAGGCAAGCAGGCACCCUGAGAAGAAUGCUGCUGCUGCCAAUGCUGGCCCUGGCUGAAGCCUGGUUGCAUCCAUUCCCCUCCCCGUGGAGGCUCCACUGGCAGCAGCAGCAGGAGGCUGUCCUGCGUACACCUGCGGGCAGCAGGCUGGCAGUGCUUGCUGUGUUUUCUCUCCUUCUGAUAGAUGGACAUGCGCUAGUGCUGCUGCAACAGCAUCAACUAUCUGCUACCAGAGAGAGAUCCAAAACUGUGACUAUUGAGUGCAAAGUCGAGGGCAUAGCUGACUUCCAGGCUGCCUACAUCCACUGGUACCGACAAAUGCCUGCUAAAGCUCCUGAACGGCUUCUCUAUGUGACAGCAGUAGCGCAAGUUUCCUAUGAUUCGGAUUCCUAUAAGAACAAAUAUUGGUCUUAUAAAAGUGAGAAUAAAAUCUGCACUCUCUCAGUUCUAAACAUACGUGAUGAUGAUGAAGGUACCUACUACUGUGCCUACUGGGAGUCUCACCGAGGGAGCAGUCUGCGGGCAGCCCUUACAGAAAGCUGGCUGCAACCUGAGCGGCACACUUUCUUUCAAGUGCUGAGAACCACAGCUGCCUUCCUGCCCCCAUCUCUCAGCCUUCAUGACAUCCCCACAGGUUUACACUGAGGAAGGAUAUCCAGGAGGAUGUCCAAGACAGUUAUGUAGCAAUCACGUUGAAAACCCAGUGUCCGUGUGACUAUUCUGUGCAGCCUGAGUCCAUUGUUUCCUCUCCCACCAGCAGCCGUCCUUCAUCUAAUGUUCCUUUUUUCACCACAGGCAUGCCAUCACUAAAGGACUUGAUACAAAAUGAUGAAUCUGUCACAAGGAAAAUGACAGUAGCACUUUACAGAACAUGUCCUGACAUGAGGACUGUAGUGCAUGCUGCAGAAGAAAAGACCUGGAGAAGAUCCAGAGAAGAUUCACUCUGUUAGUCAGAGAAUGGAAAACAUAACUCAGAAAGAGCAUGCAGUGGUAUAGGUCCUGUUUAUGCACACCAACAACAUCCAGAGUUGGUGCAGAUGGCUGUGCAGUCCCAAGUAAGCUGUGCCAAGCUAGAAGAAGACAGGAGUUUACCAUGAACCAGUCAAUUUGUGCUACAAAAGCAGGCAGCAUUUUCUAGGAAGGGCUGAUGAAAUAUGCUUCUUGGCCUGAAAUAUGCUUCUCAGCCCUGGGGAUCUGAGGAGAGGAGAGUGACCCUGGGAAGGGCACAACUGAAGAAUCCCACUUUCAACAUCUGUGCUUAACAAGAUUUAAGGGUAAGAGUAAAUGGAAUGUAGCAGAUGGAU
Non-coding RNA from Gallus gallus (chicken), 1303 nucleotides. Lineage: Eukaryota; Metazoa; Chordata; Aves; Galliformes; Phasianidae. The record is from the annotation of a RefSeq genome assembly.